RNAcentral lists this ribosomal RNA (1973 nucleotides) under human gut metagenome. RNAcentral describes it as "bacterial LSU rRNA". It matches the Rfam family "Bacterial large subunit ribosomal RNA", at positions 3 to 1999 of the family's 2925-position model. The record is from RNAcentral.
UCAAGUUAUUAAGGGUGCAGGGCGGAUGCCUUGGCACUAGGAGCCGAUGAAGGACGUGAUAAGCUGCGAUAAGCUUCGGGGAGUUGCACGUAAACUUUGAUCCGAAGAUUUCCGAAUGAGGAAACUCACUUAGAGUAAUGUCUAAGUAUCGUUAAGUGAAUACAUAGCUUAGCGAGGGGAACCCGGGGAACUGAAACAUCUAAGUACCCGGAGGAAGAGAAAGAAAUUCGAUUCCGUAAGUAGCGGCGAGCGAACGCGGAACAGGCCAAACCAAUGAAGUUUACUUCGUUGGGGUUGCGGACAUACAACAUGGAUGCAAUAUCGUAAAUGAAGAGAGUUGGAAAGCUCCGCCAUAGAAGGUAAUAGCCCUGUAGUUGAAACGAGAAAGCUACUAGUAUGAUCCAGAGUACCACGGGACACGUGAAACCCUGUGGGAAGCAGGAGGGACCAUCCUCCAAGCCUAAAUACUACCUAGUGACCGAUAGCGCAUAGUACCGUGAGGGAAAGGUGAAAAGAACCCCGGGAGGGGAGUGAAAUAGAACCUGAAACCCUGCACUUACAAGCUGUGGGAGCACAUUACUUGUGUGACCGCGUACUUUUUGUAGAACGGGCCAACGAGUUACGUUAAGUAGCAAGGUUAAGCACUUAAGGUGUGGAGCCGUAGCGAAAGCGAGUCUUAAAUGGGCGAUUAAGUUACUUGGCGUAGACCCGAAACCGGGCGACCUAUCCAUGAGCAGGUUGAAGCGAAAGUAAAAUUUCGUGGAGGACCGAACCCACGAGCGUUGAAAAGCUCGGGGAUGACUUGUGGAUAGCGGUGAAAUUCCAAUCGAGCCCGGAGAUAGCUGGUUCUCCCCGAAAUAGCUUUAGGGCUAGCCUCAAGCGUAGAGAAACGGAGGUAGAGCACUGAAUGUCCUAGGGGGUAUUGCACUUACCGAAGACUAUCAAACUCCGAAUGCCGUUUUCUUUUACUUGGGAGUCAGACUGUGGGUGAUAAGAUUCAUAGUCAAAAGGGCAACAGCCCAGAUCGUCAGCUAAGGUCCCUAAAUGUACGUUAAGUGGUAAAGGAUGUGGGAUUGCACAGACAACCAGGAUGUUGGCUUAGAAGCAGCCACUCAUUUAAAGAGUGCGUAAUAGCUCACUGGUCGAGUGAUCCUGCGCCGAAAAUUUCCGGGGCUAAAACGUACUACCGAAGCUACGGCAUCAUUUAUGAUGGGUAGGGGAGCUUCGUAUGCAGGCUGAAGCAUGACCGUAAGGACAUGUGGACAGUAUACGAGUGAGAAUGUUGGCAUGAGUAGCGAGACGUGGGUGAGAAUCCCACGGGCCGUAAACCCAAGGUUUCCAGGGGAAGGUUCGUCCGCCCUGGGUUAGUCGGGACCUAAGCCGAGGCCGAAAGGCGUAGGUGAUGGACAACAGGUUGAUAUUCCUGUACCGCCAAUAAGCGUUUGAGAGAUGGAGUGACACAGUAGGAUAAGCUAACCGUACUGUUGGUUAUGUACGGCUAAGCAUUGAGGCAGUCUAAAUAGGCAAAUCCGUUUAGACAAUGCUAGGAUGUGAUGGGGAAGCCCUUCGGGGCGAAGUAGCUGAUUUCACACUGUCAAGAAAAGCUUCUAUCGAGUUUAAAGGCGCCCGUACCGUAAACCGACACAGGUGGGUGAGGAGAGUAUCCUAAGGCCAGCGAGAGAACUAUUGUUAAGGAACUCGGCAAAAUGACCCCGUAACUUAGGGAGAAGGGGUGCCUGUCUAUGACAGGCCGCAGAGAAUAGGCCCAAGCGACUGUUUACCAAAAACACAGGUUUCUGCUAAGUCGCAAGACGAUGUAUAGGAGCUGACGCCUGCCCGGUGCUGGAAGGUUAAGGGGAUCUGUUAGAGCAAUCGAAGCAGUGAACUUAAGCCCCAGUAAACGGCGGCCGUAACUAUAACGGUCCUAAGGUAGCGAAAUUCCUUGUCGGGUAAGUUCCGACCCGCACGAAAGG